This 380-nucleotide ribosomal RNA is filed under the name uncultured bacterium. RNAcentral describes it as "bacterial SSU rRNA". It matches the Rfam family "Bacterial small subunit ribosomal RNA", at positions 28 to 411 of the family's 1533-position model. The record is from RNAcentral.
GACGAACGCUGGCGGCGUGCUUAACACAUGCAAGUCGAGCGGUAAGGCCCUUUCGGGGGUACACGAGCGGCGAACGGGUGAGUAACACGUGGGUGACCUGCCCUCAGCUCUGGGAUAAGCCUGGGAAACCGGGUCUAAUACCGGAUAUGACUCCAUGACGCAUGUUGUGGGGUGAAAGCCUUGUGCGGCUGAGGAUGGGCCCGCGGCCUAUCAGCUUGUGGUGGGGUNAUGGCCUACCAAGGCGACGACGGGUAGCCGGCCUGAGAGGGCGACCGGCCACACUGGGACUGAGACACGGCCCAGACUCCUACGGGAGGCAGCAGUGGGGAAUCUUGCGCAAUGGGCGAAAGCCUGACGCAGCGACGCCGCGUGAGGGAUGA